AUGGAGACCUCGGAGGCGGAGAAGGAGAUGAGGGAGUGGUGCGUCGCGCUCCCCAAGGUGGAGCUCCACGCCCACCUCAACGGCUCCGUCCGCAACUCCACCCUCCUAGAACUCGCAAAAGAACUAGGCGACAAAGGAGUGAUUGUCUUUGAGGAUGUUAAGGAUGUGAUCAUGAAGAAUGACAGAUCUCUCCCAGAGUGUUUUAGGCUCUUUGAUUUGUUUCAUAUACUUACGACUGACCAUGAUACAGUGACAAGGAUCGCCAAGGAGGUUGUGGGAGAUUUUGCUGCCGAGAAUGUUGUGUAUUUGGAAAUAAGGACGACACCUAAGAAUAAUGAAGCAAAGGGGAUGACCAAGAGAUCAUACAUGAAUGCUGUUGUUAAAGGACUUAAGUCUGUUGAAGACGUCGACGUUGUUCUAUUUGAUUCUAACUUAAGAAACGAUGAAACACCUAUGAGUGAUUUGAGUGGCGACACAAAGAGAAAGAAGAUAUAUGUUAGGCUCCUUCUGAGUAUUGACCGUCGUGAGACAACUUCUGCUGCAUUGGAUACUGUUAAUUUAGCCAUGGAAAUGAAGGACCAGGGUGUAAUUGGCAUUGAUCUCUCUGGCAAUCCAGUUGUAGGGGAAUGGGAGACAUACCUGCCUGCUCUAGAACAUGCUAAAGAUCUGGGAAUCCCCACCACAAUUCACUGUGGUGAGAUGAAAUUAGAGCUUAGUGAACAACAGGUACCAAACAGGAAGGAGAUCCAAGCAAUGCUGGAUUUCUGCCCUCAAAGGCUAGGUCAUGUCUGUUGCCUCGACGACGAAGAGUGGAAGAAGCUCAAGUCAUCGAUGAUCCCGGUGGAAAUAUGUUUAACCUCCAAUGUUAUGACCGGAGGCGCCCCUUCUCUGGAGCUUCAUCACUUUGCUGACCUUUACAACGCGAAACACCCUCUGUCGAUAUGCACUGAUGAUUCUGGCCUCUUUUCGACGAGCCUCUCAAAUGAGUAUUACCUCGUCGCGUCUACCUUCGGCCUUAGCAAGACCGAGCUGUUUCGGCUAGCCCAGGGCGCUGUGGAGUUCGUGUUCGCCGACGACGAGGUGAAGAAGUCACUGAGGGCGGUGUUUGAGCGUGCGGCGGCGGAGACGCUCGCAAGUUAG
This 1140-nucleotide ribosomal RNA is filed under the name Triticum aestivum (bread wheat). Its description in RNAcentral is "partial small subunit ribosomal RNA". The record is from RNAcentral. Lineage: Eukaryota; Viridiplantae; Streptophyta; Magnoliopsida; Poales; Poaceae.